GGGUGAAAUGGGGAGUUUGGGGCUGGGUCUUUGCGGGCGAGAUGAGAAGUUUCUGCCUUCAACUGGCCUACAAAGUCCCAUUUCUCGGCUCCCAAGUCUGCGC
Molecule: microRNA precursor, 103 nt
Filed under: Podarcis lilfordi (Lilford's wall lizard)
Lineage: Eukaryota; Metazoa; Chordata; Lepidosauria; Squamata; Lacertidae
Rfam family: mir-193 microRNA precursor family (bases 15-89)
Source: RNAcentral